This 265-nucleotide ribosomal RNA is filed under the name uncultured archaeon. RNAcentral's name for it is "partial 16S ribosomal RNA". It matches the Rfam family "Archaeal small subunit ribosomal RNA", at positions 719 to 982 of the family's 1478-position model. The record is from RNAcentral.
ACACGACUACAUUAGACUACCCGUGUAGUCCUAGCCGUAAACGAUACUCGCUAGGUGUCGGCCACGGUGCGACCGUUGUCGGUGCCGUAGGGAAGCCGUGAAGCGAGCCACCUGGGAAGUACGGCCGCAAGGCUGAAACUUAAAGGAAUUGGCGGGGAGCACCACAAGAGGUGGAGGCUGCGGUUCAAUUGGACUCAACGCCGGAAAACUCAUCGGGAGCGACAGCAGUAUGAUUGCCAGGUUGAUGACCUUGCUUGACAAGCUG